RNAcentral lists this ribosomal RNA (434 nucleotides) under uncultured bacterium. Its description in RNAcentral is "partial 16S ribosomal RNA". It matches the Rfam family "Bacterial small subunit ribosomal RNA", at positions 28 to 506 of the family's 1533-position model. The record is from RNAcentral.
AGCGAACGCUGGCGGCAGGCUUAACACAUGCAAGUCGAGCGGGCACUUUCGGGUGUCAGCGGCGGACGGGUGAGUAACGCGUGGGAACGUGCCCUCUGGUUCGGAAUAACUCAGGGAAACUUGAGCUAAUACCGGAUACGCCCUUUUGGGGAAAGGCUUGCUGCCGGAGGAUCGGCCCGCGUCUGAUUAGCUAGUUGGUGAGGUAACGGCUCACCAAGGCGACGAUCAGUAGCUGGUCUGAGAGGAUGAUCAGCCACACUGGGACUGAGACACGGCCCAGACCCCCCGGGGGGGGCGCAGGGGGGAUUUUUGGACAAGGGGCGCAAGCCUAAUCCCGCCAUGCCGGGGGAGUGAUGAAGGCUUUAGGGUUGUAAAGCUCUUUUAUCCGGGACGUAAUGGCCGGUCCCGGGGGAAAAAGCCCCGGCAAACUUCGU